GGUCAACGCAAGGAGGCAGACAUGGGACGUACAUACUCUCUGAAUGUCCUGAUAGUCGGUGCAGCGUUCGUGUUCGUGGUAUCCAUGCUCUUCAUCUGAGCCGCCACGAGGUUCCCACUAACAGGUCAUAUAUCUCGCAUCCAUGACCGUUUGAUAUCAGCACUUCCAAUGAAACGCAUGCUCCUCGCAAAGGAGCAUGCGUUUU
RNAcentral lists this small RNA (205 nucleotides) under Rhizobium sp. YS-1r. RNAcentral's name for it is "Rhizobiales sRNA Atu_C9". It matches the Rfam family "Rhizobiales sRNA Atu_C9". The record is from Rfam by way of RNAcentral. Lineage: Bacteria; Pseudomonadati; Pseudomonadota; Alphaproteobacteria; Hyphomicrobiales; Rhizobiaceae.